GGCGGGGUCCACGUCGGGGUGCGCGCCAAGUGUCCGGUUCCGGAACGGCUCCCAGCCUCCGCAGACACCAAAGCCCCCGACCCCAAGCAGGGGUUGACGACGCCGGAUUGGGUGGGAGGAGAGGGUCAGGGCAGGGGUCGCCGCGCCCCCAUUCCAGCCCUGCGUUCCUCGGGACUUUCUGGCGGCUUUUCAGGACUUCCCUCUCCGAGGCUCCGACUUUUCGCUUUCAGGACUGGUACCACCUUCACCAUCCCUCUCUUUGGGAUUUGUCGGCGGAAUCCGACCUCUCACCUAACUAGGAGCGCAGCUCUGGGCUCCUCCGACCCUAGACGAGGCCGGGCCGGGAAAGGGCCAGGCGUCCGAGUCUCCUGACGCCAGGAAGGCAGAGGCCACCCUCGGGCUGUCCCAGGGUGACCACUUCCUGCAGCCUUGGCGGAGUCCUGAGGACGAAGGCUGGGGACUCGGGAACUGGGGGGAAGGGCGGGGGCGGGACAGGUGAGGUGAGCUCUGCUAAGAAACCAAAUCCGCAAAGGUUCCAGCACCUGAUAAGAAUAGCUGCCUGAGGCCCUGGAGGGGCCUUGGUCAUUCAGCCCCAGGCAGGUGGUGCCCUCUUCAAGGGCAGGGGUGGACAGCGUGGUGGACCCCUUGACCCUCCCCUGACACCUGUCAGGUCAUCCUCAAGUCUGCUGUGCCUUCAGGGGGAUAUGAACGGAAGCCGGAAGCCGAGGCUCCUUUUCUCUUCACACACCCCCUUCCUUUGUUUAGUAUGGGGGCAAAGGUCUCUCCUAGCUGUUCAUUGGGCUCUAACCGAGAAGACGUCAGGUGGGGUCCUGCCCUUGUGUUUCCCAUUAGCUGGAGGGGUGACUUAAAAUAAAGGCAAACAGCUUCUAAUUGCUUGCUAGGGCCGGUCCUGGACUAAGUGCUUUACAGGUGUUUGGGGUCUGUGCCUCCCAACAGCCCCGUGAGAGAAAGUGAUCACUCGCAUUUCCAGGCCAAGGAAGCCAAGGCAUGGAGUGGUUAGGCUGCUUGUCUGAACUGCGUGGUGCUGAGACCCUAACUCCAGAGCCUGCUCACAUAAUCCCUGAGCCACACUGCCUCUCAUUUCAGCCAGGGGCUGUGUCAUUUCUUUUGUGCUCCAGGGUAGAGGUAAACAGUUGUCUGGGUUACUGGGUCCUGUUUGGUGUUGCCAUAACGUUUACUCUGCAACCUUAUUCUGCAUCUGAAAGACCAGAGUUAGCUCCUGAGGCAGAAGGCCUGGAGCAGCUUGUAGUUUUGCUAUGGUCAUCACAGGAUUGAAAGAUUUGGUGAUGAUAAAAUUACCCUGAAUUUGUACGGGCCUUCUUGCAAGAACCAACAAUAUCCAUAUACUUCCUGCAGCAUUGUGCUGGCAUUUCUAGAGCUUGUCAAGUUGGUCACCAGGCCAGUCUUUGCUGCCAAUGGAGACUGGGCAGUGGGUUAGCAUAGGUGGUUUACUUUGGCAAGUUCAGACAGCUGUUGGAUUUAGCCAUCUCCCACUGGCCACAGUCAGAUGCUUGCAUGCACAUGGGUUGAACUUUGGGUUGGGAGCGUGAAGUCACCUGCUGCCCACUCUGGCUUUUGGGCCUCAGCAGUAAUUCUUGGCUUUCCUACCCUCAGCAUAUUAAGUGGGAAUAAGGGGAUGAAUGGAGAAUUUCUGGAAGGCACAGAUAAGUGCUAGGCGUUCACAUACAUCUAGGAUGACUGAAUAUUCCCUGGGGUUCUCAGCCAGGCGGUGCCACUGCAACCACAGUGCCUAGCUGCUGGUUUGGCCUCCUCCACAUAGCUGCCAACUGGGUGCUCCCCUCCCCCUGCCUUCUCCUCAGUCUGGCAGCGCUGCUUCAUGGUGUCUGUGUUCUCAGCUGCCCGUGCACAACAUGCCUGUUUGUGAAGAUGCAGAGGAGCUGUUCUGUUGAGAGCCAGAGGGAUGGAGCUGUUUCAGUGGGAUCUGGACUUUACAUGUCUAAUGGGCAGGCACAGGCUGGGACUGAGCUGAAGGGUCUAAGAGAGACUGUGGAUCCCCAGAGCUGUGCCCUAACCUGGGUGCUCAUCGGAGAGGGCAGACAGGAUUGGCCACCUGAACUUACCUCCAUCUCAGGCUCAUAGUAUUUGCUAGCCACCUCCCUGAGUUCUUAUCAGACUUUGUCAAACCACCCUGGGAAGCCUAUUUGGCAAGAGACAAGUGACUUAGAGGCAUAACUGGGGCUGGAGGGGGAAGAGGAGGCACAGGUAUUUCCCUUCGCGGAGGCCUCUCUCCUUCUCUGCAGUCCUGGUGAGGGUUUGCCACUCCCAGCACCACCACAGCACCCUCCCCUUCCCAGGGACAAUGCUCCCUCUGUGAGCAUUUUAUGGGAUGUUUUUUCUUUCCACUUCACUUCUCAAGCCUUCCUUGUUCAUGCUGCUGUGUUCCUUUUUCCUAAUUCUAGCUCUUGGGGAACCUUGGGGAGCCUCCCCAGUAGCACUAGCCCUUGGGGCCCAGGUGAAGUCCUUUGCUUGGGGUCCUACCAUGAGCCCACAGCCUCCAGGGCUUCUGUGGGAGAGGGCUGCUCCCCUAGCCCCAGCAGGUCCUUGAGUUAUUGGUGAAGAGGAGAGAGGCUGGGUCCGCAGGUGGUGCUGGCUGAGGAAGGAGGAGUAGGGUCACACAGAGGAGCACUAACGGAUGGAGAGCCAGUUCUGGGAGUUUGGGGAGAGAUCCAGGCAGGAGGGAGCCCACUGGGCAGAACGUAAAGCUCCAUAUGGGCAGCAUGCAUACACGGGUGUGUGCUGGAGGGUUUCCAUCCAGACCCCUACACUGGAAAAGGGUGGCUCCCAUGUGAUGCUGGGUGUCUGUGAUCCUUCAGGAAAGUCUACAGGCUGGUACCCCAGGACUUCCUGGUCAGGAAAGCCCUGCAGGAAAUGAGUGUUAGUUCUGAGGCCUGGCCCUUCGCCGCUUAGGAGGUACUGGGGCUGCUUUUGCCUUUGCCAGAGACAGCUCCAACUGAGGACCUCCCCAACGGGUCCAUCCACAGUCCUUCCUUCCCCUAGCAUCUGGGAAGACAGGCAUGAUGGCGGACUCCCCAUUCCUGGAGCUGUGGCAGUCCAAGGCGGUGUCCAUCAGGGAGCAGCUGGGCCUCGGGGACCAGCCCAAUGACUCCUAUUGCUACAACUCGGCCAAAAACAGCACCGUGCUCCAGGGAGUCACCUUUGGUGGCAUCCCCACUGUCCUGCUCAUAGACGUCAGCUGCUUCCUGUUCUUAAUCUUGGUGUUUUCCAUUAUAAGAAGAAGAUUCUGGGACUAUGGCCGCAUUGCUCUGGUGUCAGAAGCAGACAGCGAGUCCAGAUUUCAGAGAUUGUCAUCAACUUCCUCCUCAGGGCAACAAGACUUUGAAAAUGAGCUGGGAUGCUGUCCCUGGCUGACUGCCAUCUUCCGUCUGCAUGAUGACCAGAUCCUGGAAUGGUGUGGGGAGGACGCCAUCCACUACCUGUCCUUCCAGAGGCACAUCAUCUUCCUGCUGGUGGUGGUCAGCUUUUUGUCCCUGUGUGUCAUCCUGCCCGUCAACCUCUCAGGCGACUUGCUGGACAAAGACCCGUACAGUUUUGGGAGGACGACAAUAGCAAACCUGCAGACUGACAAUGACCUACUUUGGCUGCAUACCAUCUUUGCCGUCAUUUACCUCUUCCUCACCGUGGGCUUCAUGCGGCACCACACUCAGUCCAUUAAGUACAAAGAGGAGAACCUGGUGAGGCGGACCCUAUUCAUCACAGGACUCCCCAGAGAUGCCAGGAAGGAGACUGUGGAGAGCCACUUCCGGGAUGCGUACCCCACGUGUGAAGUGGUUGAUGUCCAGCUGUGCUACAACGUGGCCAAACUGAUCUACCUGUGCAAGGAGAGAAGGAAGACUGAGAAGAGCCUGACUUAUUAUACGAACCUGCAGGUGAAGACAGGCCAGCGGACCCUCAUCAACCCCAAGCCCUGUGGCCACUUUUGCUGCUGCGAAGUGCUGGGCUGUGAGUGGGAAGACGCCAUCUCUUACUAUACGCGGAUGAAGGACAGGCUGCUGGAGAGGAUCACAGAGGAAGAAUGCCACGUCCAGGACCAGCCCCUGGGAAUGGCCUUUGUCACCUUCCAGGAGAAGUCCAUGGCCACCUACAUCCUGAAAGAUUUCAAUGCCUGCAAGUGUCAGAGCCUUCAGUGCAAAGGUGAGCCCCAGCCGUCCUCCCAUAGCAGAGAGCUCUGUACCUCCAAGUGGACAGUCACCUUUGCCGCUGACCCUGAGGACAUCUGCUGGAAGAACCUCUCUAUCCAGGGCCUCCGCUGGUGGCUACAGUGGCUGGGCAUCAACUUCACCCUCUUCCUGGGGCUGUUUUUCCUGACCACACCCUCCAUCAUCCUGUCCACCAUGGACAAGUUUAAUGUCACCAAACCCAUCCAUGCGCUGAAUAACCCGAUCAUCAGCCAGUUCUUCCCCACCCUCCUGCUCUGGUCCUUCUCGGCUCUGCUCCCCUCCAUUGUCUACUACUCUACACUGCUGGAGUCUCACUGGACCAAGUCGGGGGAAAACCAGAUCAUGAUGACCAAAGUCUACAUAUUCUUGAUCUUCAUGGUGCUGAUCCUGCCCUCCCUGGGUCUCACCAGUCUAGAUUUUUUCUUCCGGUGGCUCUUUGACAAAACUUCCUCGAAGGCUUCCAUCAGGUUGGAGUGUGUCUUCCUGCCUGACCAGGGUGCCUUCUUUGUGAACUACGUCAUCGCCUCGGCCUUCAUCGGCAAUGGCAUGGAGCUGCUGCGGCUGCCAGGCCUCAUCCUCUACACCUUCCGCAUGAUCAUGGCCAAGACGGCUGCCGACCGCAGGAAUGUCAAGCAGAACCAGGCCUUCCAGUACGAGUUUGGAGCCAUGUAUGCAUGGAUGCUGUGUGUCUUCACUGUCAUCAUGGCCUACAGCAUCACCUGUCCCAUCAUUGCGCCAUUUGACCCUGAUCCAGCGACGAAUGAAAGACAUACACUGACAGAUAUUUUGCCUGUCAGUGCGACUAAGGGGCUCUGCUGCCUGAGUCUGCACCCGUGGAUGAUCAAAGGCCUCAUCUACAUCCUGCUCAAGCACAUGGUGGACCGGCACAACCUCUACUUCGUCUACCUCCCAGCCAAGCUGGAGAAGGGGAUCCACUUUGCUGCUGUGAACCAGGCCUUGGCAGCCCCCAUCCUAUGCCUCUUCUGGCUCUACUUCUUUUCCUUCCUGCGCCUGGGUAUGAAGGCCCCUGCCACUCUGUUCACCUUCCUGGUGCUGCUGCUCACCAUCCUGGUCUGCCUGGCUCACACCUGCUUUGGAUGCUUCAAGCACCUCAGCCCUCUGAACUACAAAGUAAAGGUCCCCGACCCCACUGCCCCGUCAAGCCCUGGGAGGAACAGAUGGUGGGACGGGCUCGCUCUCAACGCCUCCCACCCUUGUCUGUAUCAACACAGCAGCAGCCUUCUCCAGAUUCUGCUUCUCCAUGGGAAAGGCGUGGGUGGUUGGGUGCCAUGUGUAGCUUCCCUUGCUCCCCUCAUCCCUGCACUCCCCCACCCCCAUCUUCUCUCGGGCUGCUGCGGAGCUUGGUGCCAGCUGGUACUAUUAUUCCGGGUGUUAAUAGUCUCUGUGUUUGGAGGGUGUUCAUUCACAGAGAUCAGUUUUGUUUAUCAUUGCAAGUUUUUGCUGUUAUCUGCAGACAGAAGAGCCUGCAAGUGACAAAGGAAGUGAGGCAGAGGCCCACAUGCCUCCACCGUUCACACCCUACGUGCCUCGGAUUCUGAACGGCUUGGCCUCGGAGAGGACAGCACUGUCUCCACAGCAGCAGCAGCAGCAGACCUAUGGUGCCAUCCACAACAUCAGCGGGACUAUCCCUGGACAGUGUUUGGCACAGAGCUCCAUGGGCAAUGUGGCUGCUGCCCCACAGGAGGCCUGAGGCCGGGUCUCACUGCUCCGAAAAGACACAACCAGAAUGGCCUGGGGCUCAGGCCCUUGGCUGAGCGGGAAUGUGUUGGGACUGCCCAGCUGAGCCAUCAGGUGCCCAUCUUUUCUGGUCCCAGCAGUGGUGAGGGGAGCACAUGCAGGCCUCACCCCUACCUUGCUCACCCAGUUCCCCCUCCGGCACAAGCUUGCGGCUCUGCAGCUGGGGUGACAUCCCCAGUGGUUUGUCGCCAAGACCAUGUGGUGGACUUUUCGCCCCCCAAACUGAUGAGUCUGGGAGAAUAUAUGGAGAGAGAGAUGUAACAAGGGGAAGGCCUCCUCCCUUCUGAGCACACACACAACCGAUAACCAAAGAGAUGCUGCAGUCCAGGUCUGAGAUGAGCUGGCGUCCAGCUCCCCGCUCCAUGGCCAGUCCCUCCCCAGCCCGGCACCCCCUCCAGGCUACACCCAGGAGUGAGCUAUGAGGAGCAGGCUGGGAGGCGGCCAGUGCUCCUGCCAGCUGUGCACACACCUCUGUAUCUCACUACAGUUCUGUGUUUUUGUAUCAUGUUGUCAGGGACACCCCAUAACAGGCAGGGACAAGGACCACUCAUAAUGUGCCCACUGGACCACAGUUAAGAUCCAGCCUCUCCCACCUCUUCAGGGCUGAGUGCAUGAGUCUGCACCUCCAGGCAGGCUCUGUGCAGUACUCACCCUCUGUCUGCUCCCUGCAAGGUGUGGGGGUGGGCAGUGCUCAGGGCCUCCUCGGAACCAAAGGACAGCGUGGUCGGCACAGAGGAGGGGGUGCCUGGGCUGGGUGCAUCCCAUUGCCCUUGAGCUGUGGCUCUGGCAGGAAGGAGGGGCUGUCCCUCUUCUCCCUCCUGGAGAGUCCAGGGGAUGGGAUGCAACUUAAGACUUCUGCCUGAGAAGCUUCCUCCCUAAGAAGCCUCCUCCCUGCUACCUCCAGGGGGCACCAAGGCACAAGCCUGUGCAGUGGGGGUGGGAGGGGGUGCGGAAGAGCAGGUCCAGGCUCCUUUCAGCCCAACUGGGCCAAGGCCUUGGCACCUCUGCAGGCCCUGCCUGUGCCUGUCCGCUGACCUGGUAGGCCUGGACUUUCUGACUCAGGGACCCUGUUGAUGCUGACUUGCGCCUGCAGUGGCGGCCAAUGCUGCCUCUGCCCCAAGCUGCCCCUGUGCUGGGAGGGGUGGGGGCAGUGCCAUUGGUCUGGUGCAGCACAGCCCUGGCCAGUGGCCUCAUCCCCAGUGGGCCUCCUGUGCCUCUGCCAGCAAGGAGGGGCCUGCCAGCUCUGCUUGGACAGGGGGCACCAUGUGGGGUCAGGGCAUGCUUAUGUCACUGGGUUCCAGCCACUGUUAGAAGUAAAGUCAUUUAUCAUCAA
Rhinopithecus roxellana (golden snub-nosed monkey) is the source of this 7311-nucleotide RNA transcript. It is a transcript of the gene named transmembrane protein 63A, with no coding region annotated. The transcript is spliced from 24 exons. The record is from RefSeq and is a predicted model, not a curated record. Lineage: Eukaryota; Metazoa; Chordata; Mammalia; Primates; Cercopithecidae.